RNAcentral lists this ribosomal RNA (425 nucleotides) under uncultured bacterium. RNAcentral's name for it is "bacterial SSU rRNA". It matches the Rfam family "Bacterial small subunit ribosomal RNA", at positions 356 to 773 of the family's 1533-position model. The record is from RNAcentral.
GGGGAAUAUUGCGCAAUGGGGGAAACCCUGACGCAGCGACGCCGCGUGAGCGAAGAAGGCCUUAGGGUUGUAAAGCUCUGUUUUAGGGGACGAAAGACUAGAGGAGUAACUGCCUUUAGAGUGACGGUACCCUAAGAGGAAGCCCCGGCUAACUACGUGCCAGCAGCCGCGGUAAGACGUAGGGGGCGAGCGUUGUCCGGAAUUACUGGGCGUAAAGAGCACGUAGGCGGGACAAUAAGUCAGGUGUGAAAGACCGGGGCUCAACUCCGGGGUUGCACAUGAAACUGUUGUUCUUGAGGGCAGGAGAGGGAAGCAGAAUUCCUGGUGUAGCGGUGAAAUGCGUAGAAAUCAGGAGGAAUACCAGUGGCGAAGGCGGCUUUCUGGACUGACCCUGACGCUGAGGUGCGAAAGCGUGGGUAGCAAAC